UACGUAGGGGGCUAGCGUUAUCCGGAAUUACUGGGCGUACAGGGUGCGUAGGUGGUUUCUUAAGUCAGAGGUGAAAGGCUACGGCUCAACCGUAGUAAGCCUUUAAAACUGGGAAACUUGAGUGCAGGAGAGGAGAGUGGAAUUCCUAGUGUAGCGGUGAAAUGCGUAGAUAUUUGGAAGAACACCGGUGGCGAAGGCGACUUGCUGGGCAGCAACUGACGCUGAGGCGCGAAAGCCAGGGUAGCAAACGGGAUUAGAUACCCCGGUAGUCCCUGAGCGGGCUGG
RNAcentral lists this ribosomal RNA (285 nucleotides) under uncultured prokaryote. RNAcentral's name for it is "partial 16S ribosomal RNA". It matches the Rfam family "Bacterial small subunit ribosomal RNA", at positions 524 to 812 of the family's 1533-position model. The record is from RNAcentral.